UCUCAGUUCCAGGUUCUGUGCGAAUCAGC
Molecule: non-coding RNA, 29 nt
Filed under: Mus musculus (house mouse)
Lineage: Eukaryota; Metazoa; Chordata; Mammalia; Rodentia; Muridae
Source: RNAcentral